AUCUGGCUGACGAGUCCCAAAUAGGAAGAAACGAGCGUUCUGAAU
This 45-nucleotide non-coding RNA is filed under the name Schistosoma mattheei. Lineage: Eukaryota; Metazoa; Platyhelminthes; Trematoda; Strigeidida; Schistosomatidae. The record is from RNAcentral.